Molecule: non-coding RNA, 72 nt
Organism: Podarcis lilfordi (Lilford's wall lizard)
Lineage: Eukaryota; Metazoa; Chordata; Lepidosauria; Squamata; Lacertidae
Source: the annotation of a GenBank genome assembly
ACCUUGGUAGUUCAGUCAGUAGAGCACGAGACUUAAAUCUCAGGGUUGUGGGUUUGAGCCCCACAUUGGGCA